This 68-nucleotide transfer RNA is filed under the name bovine gut metagenome. It matches the Rfam family "tRNA". From Rfam's summary of the family: Transfer RNA (tRNA) molecules are approximately 80 nucleotides in length. Their secondary structure includes four short double-helical elements and three loops (D, anti-codon, and T loops). RNAcentral also lists the same sequence under 1 other name. The record is from RNAcentral.
GGGCUAUAGCCAAGUGGUAAGGCGUGAGUCUGCAAAACUUUGAUCGUCGGUUCAAAUCCGUCUAGCCC